This 73-nucleotide transfer RNA is filed under the name Felis catus (domestic cat). It matches the Rfam family "tRNA". From Rfam's summary of the family: Transfer RNA (tRNA) molecules are approximately 80 nucleotides in length. Their secondary structure includes four short double-helical elements and three loops (D, anti-codon, and T loops). Further hydrogen bonds mediate the characteristic L-shaped molecular structure. tRNAs have two regions of fundamental functional importance: the anti-codon, which is responsible for specific mRNA codon recognition, and the 3' end, to which the tRNAs corresponding amino acid is attached (by aminoacyl-tRNA synthetases). tRNAs cope with the degeneracy of the genetic code in two manners: having more than one tRNA (with a specific anti-codon) for a particular amino acid; and 'wobble' base-pairing, i.e. permitting non-standard base-pairing at the 3rd anti-codon position. RNAcentral also lists the same sequence under 2 other names. Lineage: Eukaryota; Metazoa; Chordata; Mammalia; Carnivora; Felidae. The record is from Rfam by way of RNAcentral.
GCCUGGCUGGCUCAGUCAGUAGAGCAUGUGACUCUUGAUCUCGGGGUUGUGAGUUCAAACCCCAUGUUGGACA